GGGGGCGGUCAGGUGUGUCCCCCCCCCCCAAGGUGACAUCGAUGUCCCCCCCUCCACCCAUAGAGGCUCAUUGGGGUGGUGGUGGGGGGGUCAGCUGUGUCGUCCCCCCCCAUAGAGGCUCAUGGAGGGGGGGGGUCAGGUGUGUCCCCCCCCCCAAUCCAUAGAGGCUCAUUGGGGGGGGGGUCAGGUGUGUGUCCCCCCCCCUCAAGGUCACAUCGGUGCCCCCCCCACCCAUAGAGGCUCAUGGAGGGGGGUCAGGUGUGUUUCCCCCCCCCCGCUAGGUGACAUCGAUGUCCCCCCCCACCCAUAGAGGCUCAUGGGGGGGGGCUUAGGUGUGUCCCCCCCCCCCAAGGUGACAUUGGUGUCACCCCCCCACCCAUAGAGGCUCAUUGGGGUGGGGGGGGAGGGUGAUAUGUGUUCCCCCCACCCAUAGAGGCUCAUUGGGGGGGGGGUUAGGUGUGUGUCCCCCCCUCCCAAGGUGACAUCGAUGUCCCCCCCCACCCAUAGAGGCUCGUGGGGGGGGGGUCAGGUGUGCCCCCCCCCAAGGUGACAUCGGUGCCCCCCCUCCACCCAUAGAGGCUCAUUGUGGGGGGGGGGGGGAGGGUUCAGUUGUGUUCCCCCCCACCCAUAGAGGCUCAUUGGGGGGGGGUCAGGUGUCCGUCCCCCCCCCCAAGGUGACAUCGAUGCCCCCCCCCCACCCAUAGAGGCUCAUUGGGGGGGGGUCAGAUGUGUGUCCCCCCCCUUAAGGUGACAUCGCUGUGUCCCCCCCUCCCCAUAGAGGCUCAUGGGGGAGGGGGGGGGGGUCAGCUGUGUCCCCCCCCCCCCCCCCCAAGGUGACAUCAGUGCCCCCCCCCCAACCCAUAGAGGCUCAUGGGGGUGGGGGGGGGGGGUCCAUCGGAACGGAGCUGAUGAGGAACACUUUGACGUAAUGCACCGCCUGUAAGGGGGGGGGGGG
RNAcentral lists this long non-coding RNA (955 nucleotides) under Gallus gallus (chicken). Its description in RNAcentral is "lncRNA (ENSGALG00010000385.1)". The record is from RNAcentral. Lineage: Eukaryota; Metazoa; Chordata; Aves; Galliformes; Phasianidae.